RNAcentral lists this ribosomal RNA (465 nucleotides) under uncultured bacterium. Its description in RNAcentral is "partial 16S ribosomal RNA". It matches the Rfam family "Bacterial small subunit ribosomal RNA", at positions 338 to 795 of the family's 1533-position model. The record is from RNAcentral.
CCUACGGGAGGCAGCAGUAGGGAAUUUUCGUCAAUGGGCGCAAGCCUGAACGAGCGAUGCCGCGUGAGUGAAGAAGGCCUUCGGGUCGUAAAGCUCUGUUGCGGGGGAAAAAAGGCAGCAUCAGGAAAUGGGUGCUGACUGAUGGUGCCCCGCCAGAAAGUCACGGCUAACUACGUGCCAGCAGCUGCGGUAAUACGUAGGUGGCGAGCGUUAUCCGGAAUGAUUGGGCGUAAAGGGUGCGCAGGCGGUCCUGCAAGUCUGGAGUGAAACGUAUGAGCUCAACUCAUGCAUGGCAUUGGAGACUGGAGAACUGGAGAGCAGGAGAGGCAGGUGGAACUCGAGGUGUAGCGGUAAAUUGCGUAGAUAUAAGGAAGAACACCAGUUGCGAAGGCAGCCGGCUGGCCUGUUGCUGACGCUGAGGCACGAAAGCGUGGGGAGCAAAUAGGAUUAGAUACCCUAGUAGUC